GUGAAUCAUCAAAUCUUUGAACGCAAAUUGCACUCUCUUCUGAUAGUAAGCCUGUUUGAGUUUCAGCCUAAAAAAAAUCGACGUAUUCGCUAUUUCGCGGUGACAUGCGUCGUAUGUGAGUUCAUCUUAAACCUUUGGGGUUUUAAGCGGCUUAAAAUUUUCUUUACGAUUCCACGAACGUUUCUAAGAGUUUACUUCUUACACACGUUUAGUGUAUCGAUCUUUAUUAGACGUGUCCGUUGCAUCGGAUGACUUCCAUAAAUAUUUGUAUUACUAGCCUCAUACU
This 286-nucleotide unclassified non-coding RNA is filed under the name Glomus sp. RNAcentral's name for it is "partial internal transcribed spacer 2". The stretch from base 1 to 65 matches the Rfam family "5.8S ribosomal RNA", at positions 84 to 154 of the family's 154-position model. The record is from RNAcentral. Lineage: Eukaryota; Fungi; Glomeromycota; Glomeromycetes; Glomerales; Glomeraceae.